AUUAUAAUGAUGAGAUGAGAAUUUUAUAUUUGAAAUGAAAAUUCUUUAUAGCCAAACACUACCUUAAUUACUGCAGUGUGGAUUUUAGAGGCAGCAGUUUUGGAAGACAACCUGUCUAUCCCAUCCCUCUUUCAGCUGGACUGAAAGUGGCAUGAGCUUUGGAUGGUUCAUCUUUAAUGCAGUCCACAUUGGCCCCAAAGGAAAAUCUUUCAUGGAUGUUCUUUUCAAAGGGAUUAGUCAUAACCAGAGGGAGGCAUCACAGCAACAAAAUAGCGUUGGUGGAGAAAAUAUUAAAUAUAUGCCAUUGGCUUGUAUUUUGUUCUUGCAUAUGUAUUUUAUCAACAUUAUUUAACUUUUUUCUUGUAAAAAUUUGAAUUGGGGAUAGAGUUUUUUUAAAAAAGAAAAUCUAGAAAAAAAAAAAGUAAC
Molecule: long non-coding RNA, 426 nt
Organism: Carya illinoinensis
Lineage: Eukaryota; Viridiplantae; Streptophyta; Magnoliopsida; Fagales; Juglandaceae
Exons: 3
Source: RefSeq, a predicted model, not a curated record